Molecule: transfer RNA, 87 nt
Filed under: bacterium
Lineage: Bacteria
Description: tRNA-Leu
Rfam family: tRNA
About the family: Transfer RNA (tRNA) molecules are approximately 80 nucleotides in length. Their secondary structure includes four short double-helical elements and three loops (D, anti-codon, and T loops).
Source: RNAcentral
GGGAGUGUGGCGGAACUGGCAGACGCGCCAGCCUUAGGAGCUGGUCCCCGGAAGGGGAUGAGGGUUCGAGUCCCUCCGCUCCCACCA